This 710-nucleotide long non-coding RNA is filed under the name Calidris pugnax (ruff). RNAcentral describes it as "lncRNA (ENSCPUG00000019980.1)". The record is from RNAcentral. Lineage: Eukaryota; Metazoa; Chordata; Aves; Charadriiformes; Scolopacidae.
UAUUUUAGGGAUAACAACAUAAUGUAUCAUGAGCCACCCUGAUUCAAAUCCACCCUGAUUCCCAGAUUCUUUCUUUGUUUUCAGACUCGUUGUUCACUCCUGUCCUUGUGGGUCCUGGAAACACUUGGCAGCAACAAUACCAAAGCAGGGGAAGAAAAGCCAUUUUCUGGAGAUCACCAGCUCUGGAGGGGACUGGGGAAGAUCCAUUUGCUAGUGAUUUCAAAGUCCUUGCUUAAGACCUCUCUGCCACGGUACCUGUUUGAAGGGUACUAGGGGGUGUCCUGGGGGUGCCCAGUGUUCUGGGACCCUCAUCCACACAGCGCUGGAGACCUGAGGGUAGCAGAACCAUCAGCCCCCACAGGAAUGAUUCUCCUGCUUGUGGAUCACAAACUUGGCUGCAGGACAAAGGGCCAUUCAUCACGCUCCAAAGUGCUGCAAAGGGCUCCCGUGUUCCACCGGAGAAGUGCCUGCGUUCGAAUCCAAGCGAGAAAGUUUUCUCCCUGUGCUUGAGGCCACUCCAGAGAGUAAUGGAGCUUGGCGCUGCUUUAGGAUCCUUUUGGAUGAGUUAUAGGGGCAAGCACCUUGUCAUGCGCCACUCGGUCUCCAGCAAAUCUGGGUAAGUAGGGCGCUCAGCAAAAUAGAUUCCUUCCAGCCUCCUGUGGCUUGCCUUUCACCCUGAGGACAUGCUUGGCUCUGCAGAGUGCCACCAG